UGAUUGAUAGCAUUUUUAGUGUGCAUGCCUAACCACUGAAAUGCUAGGAAGAAGAGACAAACCCAACGUAAGAGCAAAUAACAAAGAAUGAAGCAAUGUUUGGGUUUUUUUGAAGCUUUUAUAAAUGAGGUUAAACAAAUGCCAAAUUACGGUGUGUUAGUACAAGUCUGUAGCAUCUGUGUACAGCAACAUCCAUCCAAAGGCAGAAUCACAGCCUCGUAUCGGCCUCGAGUCUUGAGUCACAUUCAUAUCUUAAAAUACACGAGUAUUCCUUUUCCGUCUAGUCUCAGUUAUAGGCAGCUACUUCCCAGACUCUACUUUCACUUCUCUCUACUUUUUCAGACCUGGUUCCCAUGGCACUAGUGUAGAAGGUUUUAGGGUAUAAGAAGAGGGGGCAAUAAGGCUACCCUAUCACUAUGACAACCAAGAAGGAGGCUGGAGCGUGAAUCCCCAACGCUGAGGGUGGGGAGCCAUCCCUCUCUACCAAGGUGGCAAUGAUGGAGGGAACUUGCAUGCUAAGCAUCCAGGAUGCCAUGCAGCAGACACCAGGGAGCACUGAGCCACUGCUGGAGCAUUUCCUGCCUCUGCCAGGCGGCCUGCGGCAAAGUGUUUCACAUAACUAAAAAAAGUCAACACAGUCUCAUGUAUGCAAUUAAAAAAAAGCUGUCAAAGUAUAAAAAACCCAAGACACUGGAAGCUGAAAGACAAGGUGAGUAGUGAGAGCCAUUCUCCAGGCACACAGUGGAGUGCUCCUUCUCAGCAGCUCCUUGCUUUACAGCACUUCAGUCCUGAGUCCAGCACGGCAGGGCAUGUGAGGCUGAGAACACCUGCUCUUGAAGAACACAGGCUUCUGAGUGAUGUUGCUAAUGUCCCCCCACAAAUGGGAGCAGUGUCUCCGGCGGAUGAAAAAUUUAAAGUCAAAAUUAGAAAACUGCUUUUGAUUCAGGCGUUUCACUUUCCUCCCCGCCAGGCCUUUCACCUGGCUGCUCCACCUGACGUUCUUUAAAAGGCUGGACUGGCCGCCACUCCAUCAUGGUUUGUUUUGAAAUGCGACAGAGCCUGUGGCGUCUGGGUGCUUUCUCUGUGGCAAAGAGGAACAGUGGGAUCCAUUUUCUUUUAAAAAUGUUAUUGUACUUGACAGACUUGAUUUCGCAAUUGCCUUUGGCCUUAGAC
Molecule: long non-coding RNA, 1173 nt
Filed under: Homo sapiens (human)
Lineage: Eukaryota; Metazoa; Chordata; Mammalia; Primates; Hominidae
Description: non-protein coding lnc-THYN1-4:1
Source: RNAcentral